This 85-nucleotide transfer RNA is filed under the name Brevibacterium yomogidense. Its description in RNAcentral is "tRNA-Ser-TGA". It matches the Rfam family "tRNA". Rfam says of the family: Transfer RNA (tRNA) molecules are approximately 80 nucleotides in length. Their secondary structure includes four short double-helical elements and three loops (D, anti-codon, and T loops). Further hydrogen bonds mediate the characteristic L-shaped molecular structure. tRNAs have two regions of fundamental functional importance: the anti-codon, which is responsible for specific mRNA codon recognition, and the 3' end, to which the tRNAs corresponding amino acid is attached (by aminoacyl-tRNA synthetases). tRNAs cope with the degeneracy of the genetic code in two manners: having more than one tRNA (with a specific anti-codon) for a particular amino acid; and 'wobble' base-pairing, i.e. permitting non-standard base-pairing at the 3rd anti-codon position. Lineage: Bacteria; Bacillati; Actinomycetota; Actinomycetes; Micrococcales; Brevibacteriaceae. RNAcentral also lists the same sequence under 2 other names. The record is from RNAcentral.
GGUGAGUUGACAGAGCGGCCGAAUGUGACGGUCUUGAAAACCGUUGACCUGCAAGGGUCCGUGGGUUCGAAUCCCACACUCACCG